This 168-nucleotide microRNA precursor is filed under the name Prunus persica (peach). RNAcentral describes it as "miR8122 stem-loop (ppe-MIR8122)". The record is from miRBase by way of RNAcentral. Lineage: Eukaryota; Viridiplantae; Streptophyta; Magnoliopsida; Rosales; Rosaceae.
CGUAGUCGUCUUCGUUGAAGUCUUUCCACAGAUCUUUCCUCAUUUUGACAAUUCCGGUGAGGGCAGAUUGAAGCAUCUGUUUGUUCGAAGCAUCUGCCUUCAAUCUGCCGUCACCGGAAUUGUCAAAAUGAAGGAAGAUUUGUGGAAAGACUUCAACGAGUGACUCUG